Molecule: ribosomal RNA, 176 nt
Filed under: Phaeomoniella sp.
Lineage: Eukaryota; Fungi; Ascomycota; Eurotiomycetes; Phaeomoniellales; Phaeomoniellaceae
Description: partial small subunit ribosomal RNA
Rfam family: Eukaryotic small subunit ribosomal RNA
Source: RNAcentral
ACCUGCUAAAUAGCCCGGUUGACUUUGGUUGACCGCCGGCUUCUUAGAGGGACUUUUGGCUCAAGCCAAUGGAAGUACGAGGCAAUAACAGGUCUGUGAUGCCCUUAGAUGUUCUGGGCCGCACGUGCGCUACACUGACAGAGCCAGCGAGUACAUCACCUUAGCCGAAAGGUUUG